RNAcentral lists this small nuclear RNA (101 nucleotides) under Castor canadensis (American beaver). The record is from RNAcentral. Lineage: Eukaryota; Metazoa; Chordata; Mammalia; Rodentia; Castoridae.
UUUAAUAUUACUUUUAAACUCAAAUAAAAUAAAAUUAGAGAAGAUCAGCAUGGCUCCUCUGCAAGAAUGAUAUACAAACUCAUGAAGCAUUCCAUAUUUUU